GUGAGUGUAGCUCAGUUGGGCAGAGCACUGGGUUGUGGCCCCAGUGGGCGAGGGUUCGAGUCCCUUCACUCACCCCA
This 77-nucleotide transfer RNA is filed under the name Deltaproteobacteria bacterium. RNAcentral describes it as "tRNA-His". It matches the Rfam family "tRNA". From Rfam's summary of the family: Transfer RNA (tRNA) molecules are approximately 80 nucleotides in length. Their secondary structure includes four short double-helical elements and three loops (D, anti-codon, and T loops). The record is from RNAcentral. Lineage: Bacteria; Pseudomonadati; Myxococcota; Myxococcia.